GAGGAAUAUUGGGCAAUGCCCGCAAGGGUGACCCAGCAACGCCGCGUGGAGGAUGAAUGUCGUAAGAUUGUAAACUCCUGUUAGAGGGGAAGAAUAGUACCGGUUGGACCGGUAUAUGACUGUACCCUCAGAGAAAGCACCGGCUAACUACGUGCCAGCAGCCGCGGUAAUACGUAGGGGGCAAGCGUUGUCCGGAUUUACUGGGUGUAAAGGGCGCGCAGGCGGGAUAAAAAGUCAGUGGUGAAAUCCUACAGCUUAACUGUAGAACUGCCUUUGAUACUUUUAUUCUUGAGUUCGGGAGAGAGAGACGGAAUUCCAGGUGUAGUGGUGAAAUACGUAGAUAUCUGGAAGAACACCAGUUGCGAAGGCGGUCUCUUGGUCCGACACUGACGCUGAGGCGCGAAAGCGUGGGGAGCAAACA
This 421-nucleotide ribosomal RNA is filed under the name uncultured bacterium. Its description in RNAcentral is "bacterial SSU rRNA". It matches the Rfam family "Bacterial small subunit ribosomal RNA", at positions 356 to 774 of the family's 1533-position model. The record is from RNAcentral.